Molecule: long non-coding RNA, 210 nt
Filed under: Ricinus communis (castor bean)
Lineage: Eukaryota; Viridiplantae; Streptophyta; Magnoliopsida; Malpighiales; Euphorbiaceae
Description: long non-coding RNA (RCOM_LNC001816)
Source: RNAcentral
UGUUGUUAUGUGGUCAGACUUGGAUCAUCUAGUGGUGAUGGCAGCAAAGGUAAAGUGGAUCGUUCAGUGAUGAAGUGUUCAAUCCAUUGAUUAUCAGGUCCAUUGUAAGUGCAGAUAAGUGGUGUAGAGACAUUGGUCCUUCCUGAAUCAUUUCUCAAUUAUAGAGUGAGCUUUAAUUCCCUUGUUAUUGGUGGAGGAGCAAGAUGUAAG